This 460-nucleotide ribosomal RNA is filed under the name uncultured bacterium. RNAcentral describes it as "partial 16S ribosomal RNA". It matches the Rfam family "Bacterial small subunit ribosomal RNA", at positions 338 to 795 of the family's 1533-position model. The record is from RNAcentral.
CCUACGUGAGGCAGCAGUGAGGAAUAUUGGUCAAUGGGCGCGAGCCUGAACCAGCCAAGUAGCGUGAAGGAUGACUGCCCUACGGGUUGUAAACUUCUUUUAUAAAGGAAUAAAGUGAGGCACGUGUGCCUUUUUGUAUGUACUUUAUGAAUAAGGAUCGGCUAACUCCGUGCCAGCAGCCGCGGUAAUACGGAGGAUCCGAGCGUUAUCCGGAUUUAUUGGGUUUAAAGGGAGCGUAGAUGGGUUGUUAAGUCAGUUGUGAAAGUUUGCGGCUCAACCGUAAAAUUGCAAUUGAUACUGGCAGUCUUGAGUACAGUUGAGGUAGGAGGAAUUCGUGGUGUAGCGGUGAAAUGCUUAGAUAUCACGAAGAACUCCGAUUGCGAAGGCAGCUUACUAAACUGCCACUGACAUUGAUGCUCGAAAGUGUGGGUAUCAAACAGGAUUAGAUACCCUAGUAGUC